RNAcentral lists this ribosomal RNA (1176 nucleotides) under Gordonia neofelifaecis NRRL B-59395. Its description in RNAcentral is "bacterial LSU rRNA". It matches the Rfam family "Bacterial large subunit ribosomal RNA", at positions 1763 to 2925 of the family's 2925-position model. Lineage: Bacteria; Bacillati; Actinomycetota; Actinomycetes; Mycobacteriales; Gordoniaceae. The record is from RNAcentral.
UGAGCUGGUGGUGGUCGCAGAGACCAGAGAGAAGCGACUGUUUACUAAAAACACAGGUCCGUGCGAAGUCGUAAGACGAUGUAUACGGACUGACGCCUGCCCGGUGCUGGAAGGUUAAGAGGACCGGUUAAUCACCUUCGGGUGGUGAAGCUGAGAAUUUAAGCCCCAGUAAACGGCGGUGGUAACUAUAACCAUCCUAAGGUAGCGAAAUUCCUUGUCGGGUAAGUUCCGACCUGCACGAAUGGCGUAACGACUUCUCUGCUGUCUCAACCACAGGCUCGGCGAAAUUGCAGUACGAGUAAAGAUGCUCGUUACGCGCGGCAGGACGAAAAGACCCCGGGACCUUCACUAUAGCUUGGUAUUGGUGUUCGGUGCGGUUUGUGUAGGAUAGGUGGGAGACUGUGAAGCCGGCACGCUAGUGUUGGUGGAGUCGUUGUUGAAAUACCACUCUGAUCGUAUUGGGCUUCUAACCUCGGACCCUGAUCGGGUUCAGGGACAGUGCCUGGUGGGUAGUUUAACUGGGGCGGUUGCCUCCUAAAGUGUAACGGAGGCGCCCAAAGGUUCCCUCAGCCUGGAUGGCAAUCAGGUGUUGAGUGUAAGUGCACAAGGGAGCUUGACUGUGAGACGUACAUGUCGAGCAGGGACGAAAGUCGGGACUAGUGAUCCGGCACCGGCAAGUGGAAGCGGUGUCGCUCAACGGAUAAAAGGUACCCCGGGGAUAACAGGCUGAUCUUCCCCAAGAGUCCAUAUCGACGGGAUGGUUUGGCACCUCGAUGUCGGCUCGUCGCAUCCUGGGGCUGGAGUAGGUCCCAAGGGUUGGGCUGUUCGCCCAUUAAAGCGGCACGCGAGCUGGGUUUAGAACGUCGUGAGACAGUUCGGUCUCUAUCCGCCGCGCGCGUCUAGAAACUUGAGGAAACCUGUCCCUAGUACGAGAGGACCGGGACGGACGAACCUCUGGUGUGCCAGUUGUUCCGCCAGGAGCACUGCUGGUUGGCUACGUUCGGAAGGGAUAACCGCUGAAAGCAUCUAAGCGGGAAGCCUGUUCCAAGAUGAGGUUUCUCACCCACCCUUGUGGUGGGGUAAGGCCCCCUACAGACUAUGGGGUUGAUAGGCCAGAACUGUAAGCAUAGUAAUGUGUUCAGGUGACUGGUACUAAUCGGCCGAGGACUUACCAAC